This 14857-nucleotide long non-coding RNA is filed under the name Lactuca sativa (garden lettuce). RNAcentral describes it as "long non-coding RNA (LSAT_LNC001366)". The record is from RNAcentral. Lineage: Eukaryota; Viridiplantae; Streptophyta; Magnoliopsida; Asterales; Asteraceae.
UAUAUACCCCUUUAUUGGCUUGUAUUGAUGUAUAUGUUGUCCCUCUUAGUGUUAGACUCUGGAUCUGGACCUUUAGAGGUCCAGAGAGCAUUAUCUAUCCAACUUUAUGUUGUUCCAUGGAGGAAAUGAACCUAGGAUGCCAUUUUAGAAGCCAUUUCACCAAAAGAAGCUUUGUAUGUGUUGCAUGAGUGUCAAGAUUUGACCUUUACAUGAUUAUUGGACAUGGGGAAGUCAGAUCUAUAGGUUAGAGAAGCAGAUCUAGCCUCAGAAGGUUGAUUUGCUGAUUGUCAUGGAAGAAACUCGCCGAGUCCAUAAGGGGACUCGACGAGUCGAGUCGGGUUGCCCCGUGACUCGUGACCGAAUGUAGCCCGUCGAGUGGAAGGGUCACUCCACGAGUCGAGUGAGGUUUAGAAAGAUCCAGAGUACACGCUUGGACUCGCCGAGUCACCUAUGUGCACUCGACGAGUCUGGUCAAAGUUGAUCAUUGACUUUCGUUGACUUUUAGGGUUGGGUCAACACUUGGACUUUUGGACCAUUAGAAGGGUAAAAUGGUCUUUUAGAUUUCUAAGUGAACAUUGGAACAAAAAAGUCUAGCCUGGAGAGUCGUUAUUGAUUUGAGAUGAUUUCUUAUAUGUUUAGGCGGGGCUAGGUCAUUGUUACGAGGUUCAGGGAUACCGAGCACGUGAGUUACUUGACAGCAUACGAUGUGAGUCUUCUCAGUAUACAUUACCUAGAGUCGUAACUAUAUGUAGACCGAAGGGUCUUGUGUGUUAUGUGUAUGUAUGAGAUUAUGUGCAUUGUACUAUAUGUAUGCCAUGUUUUGUAUAGACCGGACCGGAGGGUCCAACGAUAUAGACCGGACCGAAGGGUCCAACGAUACAUAUCGGACUAGAGGGUCCAACGAGCUACGGGACUGGAGGGUCCCGCUGAGACACAUCGACCGAAGGGUCAUAUUGUAGCCUCGAGUGGCGUAUGUGUUACAUGUGGCAUUUUGGGGAACUCACUAAGCAUUUAUGCUUACCGUGUUAUGUGAUAUGUGUUUCAGUUACCAGCGAGGAUCGCGGGAAGGUGCCAACAUGAGUCGUACACACUGAGGGAUUUUGUGUAUUGAGAUCUUGGGAUUUGUUUUUAUUGGAUGAUAUGUAAACAUUGAAUUUUUGGGAUUUCUUUAUGAAUGAAUUAUGUGUUUAAAAUGAAAAAUUGUUUUGAAAAUUCACAUUGUUACAAGUUGGUAUCAGAGCCUUGGUUUGAGGGAUUCGGAUGCACCUUCGGGUGUAUCUAAACUCAAACUGAGGAUUUGAGAAAUAUUUCACAAUAAAACAAAUUUUCUAAAAGAGUAAAGGGUUUUGAAACAAGUAGAACAGAGUAAGUGUGUACGAUCAGCCAGCGCCCGAACGGUGAUUUCCCGAAAUACCCUUACGUUAUGUGUUAUGAGAUAUGAUAUGAUAUGCUAUGCAUGCUAGAGUAGGCUAGGUAUUCAUAUUAGGACUAGAGUGGCCUGAUCUGUGAUGCAUUAGCCUAGGAGAUUACUGCUGCUAUGAGAUGCUUGAGAGUGAGUAGGUAGCAGUGAGGAGCUUACGAGAGGUCUGUUGGAGAGUAACCUACGCAUAGAAAGAUUAGAGUACUUGUGAUCUGGGAUCCUAGGAGGAGGGCUUGGGGUGAAUACUGAUGCGGUGUGACGGUAGUAUAGGGCCUGUACUACUGAAGACACCGGAUCAGUGCGCAGUCGAAGUAAGAAUCCUUAGGGUACUAAGGAGCAAGUAAGGUUGAGUUAUCGAGUGUGAGUAUACUCGAGCGAGUCUCUGAUAUUUUUAUGUUGUAUUUCAGAGAUAUCAUGGUUGCGACACGCCACAGACCAGAGACCAGCCACAUGAGUGACGAGGAGCUUCGCUAGAUGAUCCGCGAUGAGGUGGUUGCGGCUAUCGGCGCAGAGAUACCAGAGAUGUUUGAGUCUAUCAAGACCACCCUAAUUGAGACGUUCGACGAGAGAUACGCAUCAGUUACUGAGGUUGCGGCUGCUGCAGCUACUACGGCUGUGGCUGCUGCUAGACCUCAAGGGGGUGACUCGUUGCUGUACCGGGAGUUCAGUAACACGAAGCCACCGGAGUUUGAUGGGACAUAGGAUCCGAAUGCUGCGAUGAGGUAGAUUUCUGCUAUCGAGGGAUGCUUCUAUGCCUGCUCGUGUCUGGAGCAUCUGAGGGUUCAGUUUGCACUAAACUAGUUUCGCUCGGGGGCAAAGGACUGGUGGAAGUUUGUUACCGCGGUGACCUGGGAGAGGUUCAACGCGAUGUUUCGAGAUGAGUAUGUUCCCCCUGUGGAGAGGGAACAUUUAUCCAAUGAGUUCUUGUCCCUCAAACAGGUAACUGAGUCUAUGACAUCAAUUACAAGGAUGUUUUCACGAGAUGGCGUUGUUUUGUCUUGAGCACGUGUCUUCUAAGCAGGAACGUAUGAGCCGGUGCUUGAGCAUUAUGAGGAGGGAUAUUUGUGAGUUCGUGGCGAACUCGUCAUACCGGACAUUUGCUGAGCUCCAGGCAAAUACCCGGAAGAGGGAGAUCGAGAUGGAGACACAUGUCAGGGAGGAGGCCGAGUCUCAGAGGAGGGACAGAUGACCGGCACAGGCUCAGCCGGCCGCUUAGCGGGCAAAUCCCUCUGAUUCGAGAUCUGGAGGUCCAAAAGGCCGCACUUAUUGGAAGUACGACAAGAGUCACGAGGGGGUGUGCAGAGCUGGGGUGUGUUACAAGUGUGGGAAGGAGGGGAAUUAUGCGAGGGAUCGUCCCAAGGGAUACUCGGUUUUCUUUCAUUGCAACCAGACCGGCCAUCGGAAGGCCGAGUGCCCACAACUGCUGCAGAAAUCGGCACAGGGAUCUGCACCUGCUGCCCGAGCUAUUGAGAUCCGGCCAGCAAAGGCUGAGGCACCGAAGGCUCGCGGGAAAGCUUUCCAGUUAAUAGCGGAGGAGGUCCGUGCAGCGCCCGACAUCGUGGCUGGUAUGUAUUCUUUCAUCUAUUUAUUUUGAGUUUGUGAUAUUGUGCUUAUAUUAUGGUAUACGUAGGUACUUUUCUUGUGAGUUCUGUACCUGCUUUGGUGUUAUUUAACUCGGGGUGCGUGUCGAUCUUUCGUGUCUUUAGCAUUUAAUCAGCACAUCAGUAUCUGUCGAGAGGCGUUGAGUCGGCCUCUUCGGGUUUCCAUAGCUGACGAGCGAGCGAUAUAUGCUGCUGAGGUGAUUCGGGGAUGUGUACUCGAGAUCUUCGGUGUUGAGUUCCCGAUAGAUCUGGUCCCGAUUACGAUGGGGGAUGUCUGUGUCAUCGUAGGCAUGGACUGGUUGAGCAGAUUCAGAGCGGUUAUCAAUGGCGAGCGGCAGUUGGUGACCAUACAAUACCCUAAUGGGGGAGUACUUACGGUGUACGGAGAGGGUACCUGAUCUGGGUCAGCAAAUUGUUCGGCUGCUAGAGCGAGACAGAGUCUACAGCAGGGCUGUAGUGGGUUUGUGGCCUAUGUGAUGGAUACACGAGUGACCGCGGAGAGGCCGAGUUUGGUUGGUGACGUACCAGUAGUGCGAGAGUUCCCGGACGUGUUCCCCGAGGAGUUUCCGGGUGUGCCUCCCACGAGGCACGUGGAGUUUCGUAUCGAUUUAGUCCCGGGAGCGGCGCUUAUCGCCAAAGCGCCUUAUCGCCUUGCGCCGCCAGAGAUGCAGGAGUUAUCCUCGCAGCUUCAGGAGCUGCUGGGAAAGGGGGUUAUUAGACCGAGUAGCUCACCGUGGGGAGCACCAAUCCUUUUUGUCAAGAAGAAGGAUGGUUCACGCUGGAUGUGCAUUGAUUACUGGGAGUUGAACAAGUUAAUGGUCAAGAACCGUUACCCCUUACCGAGGAUUGAUGAUCUGUUCGAUCAGUUGCAGGGAGCGUCUUGGUUCUCUAAGAUUGAUUUGAGGUCUGGAUAUCAUCAGAUGGGAGUGCGUAAUGAGGAUAUCUAGAAGACGGCGUUCAGGACUCGUUAUGGGCAUUACGAGUUCGUGGUGAUGCCUUUUGGGCUCACCAAUGCACCGGCAGCGUUCAUAGAUCUCAUGAACAGGGUGUGCAGCAGAUGUUGGAUCAUUCGGUGAUCAUGUUCAUCGAUGAUAUAUUGGUGUAUUCGAGAUCCAGAGAGCAAUAUGAUGAGCAUUUGAGGGAGAUCCUCGGAAUUCUGAGAUCGGAGAGGCUUUACGCCAAAUUCUCCAAGUGCGAUUUCUGGUUACGAGAGGUCUAGUUCCUGGAGCACCUCGUUAACCAGUACAGGAUAUUGGUCGAUCUGGCCAAGAUUGAGGCGGUUAUGAGAUGGGAAGUGCCGAAAUCCCCCAUCGAGAUCAGAAGUUUUCUGGGGUUGGCUGGCUACUAUCGGAGAUUUAUCAGAGAUUUCUCCAAGAUUGUCGUUCCUCUCACCAGGUUAACCCGGAAGGGCGUGGCUUUUAGUUGGGGUCCUGACCAGUAGGUCUCAUUCAAGACACUUCGCCAGAGAUUAUGCGAAGCCCCGGUGUUAGCCCUUUCGGAGGGGAUGGAAGAUUUUGUGGUGUAGGGUGACGCAUCGAUAUCAGGGUUGGGUGCGGUGCUGAUGCGGAGAGGGAACGUGAUAGCAUAUGCAUCAAGGCAACUGAAGCCUCAUGAGACGAGGUAUCCCACCCGCGAUUUGGAGUUGGGGAUCGUGGUGUUCGCCCUCAAGAUAUGGCGUCAUUAUUUGUAUGAGGAUGACGGUGAUGAAUCCAGUGUUGGAUACCAUUCGAGAGGCCCAGGCAGAGGCUGUGAGACCAGAGAACCACAAGAGAGAGCGAGUGAUUGGGCAGGUAUUGGAGUUCGUUACCGAUAGCCGAGGGCUUAUGACCUUUCAAGGUCCGAUUUGGGUGCCAUUUCCAGGUGGGGCAGGUACCACCUUGAUGGAGGAGGCGCACAGAUCGAGGUUCUCGAUCCAUCCGGGGGCCACUGAGAUGUAUUUGGACCUGAAGAGAGGCUAUUGGUGGCCAUGUAUGAAGAGGGAUGUUACAUGGUUCGUCGAGAGGUGCUUGACCUGUCGUAGGGUUAAGGCCGAGCACUAGCAUCUGCAUGGCAAGUUGCAGCCACUUGAUGUUCCCCAGUGGAAGUGGGAACAGAUUUCUACGGAUUUCAUCACCAAAUUACUGAGAACUACGAUGGGCGUUGAUGCAAUUUGAGUGAUUGUUGAUCAGCUGACGAAUAGCGCUCACUUCCUUGCUAUCAGUGAGAGAUCUUCCGUAGAGAGGCUGGCAGAGAUGUAUGUGAGAGAGGUGGUAUCGCGACAUGGUGUACCGAUCUCGAUUUUGUCAGAUUGAGAUGUACGUUUCACUUCCAGCUUCUGGAAGAAGUUCCAUGAGGAGUUGGGUACGAGAUUGCAUUUCAGUACCGUAUACCUGUUGGAUAAGGUGUCUAAGUCCAUAACUAUUUCGGGCUUGUACUUGAGCCGACCCGGCAUGGUCCAUUUGGGUUGCAUGGCACCAUGCAAUUGGUUAGACUAAAUGAGAGAAAUAACACUUGGAGAUUAUUAAUAUAUUAUAAGUUCUAAUAUAUUAAUAAUAUUAUUUGAUUAGUUUGAUCAAGAAUUAAUUUGGAAUUAAUUAAGUGAUCAAAGGAUAACUAAUUAAAUAUAUGGGUUGAUUAUGUAAAUCAUCCAUAUCUUGUAUAGUGGGCUAAGAGGCUCCAUGGAUUAUCAAGUUGGGUCUACCCAGAUGCUCCAUGGAUGCUCCAUGGGAGUUACAAACCCAUGGGUCAUGGAAAUGAAGAGUCAUGACACAUUAGGGUUUACAUGGUGUAACCCUAGAUGUGUCAACACUAUAUAAGGAUCCCAUUCUCCACAAAAUCGGCGAAGAAAAAGAAACUAGAGGGCUUGGCCGAUUUUGACAAGUGUGUGUUAUCUCAAGAGUCUUUCCAAGAGCAUUUGGUGUUGUGUGAAGCAUUUGAGGCAUCACACUUGGGGUGCUAGGCUCACAAGGUUUCAAGGAACACAAGCAACAACAAGGUAAGUUAUUCUAUCUAUGAUUCAAGUUAAAAUUGUUCCCCAUGUAUGCUAGAUAGGAAUAUAACCUUGGAAUUCAACUUUGCAUGAUAAUUAGACAAACAUAGAUCCAAGGUUAUUAGGGUUGCAUGUACACUUAGGAAGUGUUAGAAUGCUCAAAACCCAUCAGUGGUAUCAGAGCCUAGGCUUGUUUGUUUGUUAUUUGUGCUUAAAAGUUGAAGAAAGUCGAAAAUCUUGCUGUCUGACUGAUGGACUCGGCGAGUCCAUGGGGAGGACUCGACGAGUUCAUGUGUAUCUUCAACCUACUCGGCGAGUAGGUUUAUGCACUCGGCGAGUAGGGUCGACAGAGUGCAGAAUUUCGACUUGUGUUGCUGGAAAUGGAUUAGAAUCAUUACCCUAAAAUGUUUUGGUACUUGAAAACUUAUUUUAGAAGGUGUAAUGUCUUUUCUAACUCAUUUACAACAACUAGUUAUCAAAAUUACAAAGAUUAAAUGUGAUUUUGAUUCUUGAAAGUGUUCAUAUUCAUAUUCUUGUUCUUAUGAUGUUUAGAUGAUCAUAGGAAUUAUUUGUAACCUAUGUGGUAGAUUAAUUCAUGAUCAUAAUGUGUUUUAAUGGAGUCCAUAACUUGUCCUCAAGUUAUGGAAAACCAAAAGUCUCUUGGAUUAAAAACCAUUAAAAGAACACAAGAGUUAGGAAAAAUGAAAAGUCCUCAUUUUAUUACUCUAUUAAACUCAUAAGUUACAAGAAAUGAAAAGUUUUGAAAGUUUACAAAACUUGCCCUCAAGUUUUGGAACAAGUAAAGUUAAGUUAAAACUUUAGUUCCAACCCCUAGAAUUUUAAAAGUUAAAAUUCAACCCUUAUACUUAUAUUAUUAUGAUUUAAUAAUUAUAUAUAUAUGUAUAAGAACAAAGUCGUCUUACCGCUAGUACGCCUCAUUCACGAAGCCGGUCUAUAAGGUGGGUAUAAGGUUGUUGCCUAUAAAAUGGUGACUUAAUGGGUGUCCACUCUCACCCACCGCUUGCUUGAUCGGUGGAGGGUCGUUAGCCGAACGGGUAAGACAAGGACUUAUUAAUUCUCAUUCAAAGUAUGAUGAAUAUUAUAAAGUAACUAAAUGUUUUAUUAAAUUCCCAAUCUUAGUUACUUUAGGAAAAAUGUGAAUAAGGUGCUAUUCCAUGAAAUUACACUUUACACUUUGAUUAAGUCGUUGGUGGAGCGUGUGUGGUUAACCGGCACACUAACUUGGACUUAACAAGGUAGGUAAAGGGUGACUUAGGGUUUAUUAUAGUAUCGAUGGAGCGUGUGUGGUUAACCGGCACAUCGAUUGAGUGAUAAACUUUAAGGGUACCAAGUGAUUUGCAUGGUUACUUCACACCUCGUUUUGUGAUCCUCGGUAUCCCAGUCACAAAACUUGGAGGGCACACUCGAGAUUGAAACAUGCCUUUGAAAAGUUCAUUGAAUCUCAAAGAAUCUAGGAAUUUCUAAGAACCAUUCAAAAACCUAAUACUAAAAUAUUGCGGUUUUCGUGGUGGAAAUUGGUGAAUCGUCAUUCACCUACCUUUCAAAUAUGAUAUAGCUUAGAUUACGGCAUACCUCUUCUAAGUUAUAUUAUAUUGUGAUUGGAUCCUAGCCUUAAUAUUACAUUUGGGUGUUUUAUUAAGGACUCUCUUAUAUCUAAACUAAUCUUGUCCUCUUUCCUUCAGAUGUCUUUCAACAAUGCUUCUGGCUCUAAUCCUAAUGGCUCCUUUACCCUUAUGAACUUGUGUGGGAAAGUCACCUUUGAUGGAUCCAACUUCAAUGAGUGGAUCAGAAACAUCAGGAUGAUUACCCGCUACGAGGACAAAGAAUAUGUCCUUGACAAGGAGCUUAAGGAGAUUGAUGAGUCCACUGCAACUCCUCAGGAGAUCGCUGAAUUUCGGGCACAUGAAAGGGAUGCUACGAAAGUGGCUUGCAUCAUGAUGGCCACGAUGACAGCGGAACUCCAAAAGUCUUAUGAGGAUUUCUACCCUUAUGACAUGCACCAAGAUUUGAUGGAAAGAUACCAUCAAAGUGCAAGACAAGAGAGGUAUGAAAUCAUCUGCUCCAUGAUAACAACCAUGAUGAAGGACGGGGAAUCCGUCACGAGCCACAUGCAGAAAAUGCAAAGGUAUGUGGAUCGUUUGCUGAAGCUUAAUGUGAACUUCCCGGAGGAUCUUGCAAUAGAUAUUAUUUUGCAUUCCUUACCAUCGUGCUAUGAUCAAUUCCGCAUGACAUAUCACAUGAACAAGGAAGAAGUCACCCUCAGCAAACUUCAGGGACUUCUCAAGACCGCAGAAACAGGUCUUAAGGGGAAGUCGGUUGCUAUCACUCCUACUCAAAACUCUACUCCGGUUUUGGCAAUCGGGAAAAGUCGAGGGAGGAAGAGAAAGAGCUCUUCUAAGGGUACCAAGGCUCGGACCCUUGAUGGCUCUUCUUCAAGUGGAACCAAGAAAGGUUUCGUUACUCCUUCUUCUGACCCAAAAGAGGCUGAAUGCUUCUAUUGCCAUGAAAAAGCUCAUUGGAAGCGGAACUGCCCAAAAUACCAGCAAGAUGUGAAGGAUGGGAAAGUUAAACCCAACCAUGCAGGUAUUUACACUAUCAUUUCUAAUAACUCACCCCAUUCUAAUUCUUGGGUCCUUGAUACCGGGUGUGGUAUUCACAUUUGUUGUGACUUGCAGGGACUAAGAAGAAGUGAGGAUGUGGAGCAAGGAAGGAUAAACUUGAUCAUGGGGAAUAGGAAAGCUAUACCUGUUACCAAGAUUGGAGUUUAUACUUUAUCGCUAAGUAGUGGGUUUAGUUUAGAUUUGAAUAAGUGUUGUUAUUCGCCAGGAAUGGCAAGAAAUAUUAUUUCCUUUCAUGCUUUGUACAAACAAGGGUUUACCUUUUCAUUUAAUAAUGAAGUUGGUUCUAUAGAUGUUUUCUAUAAUAAUGUCUUUUAUUUUAAAGCAUUACCUUGUGAUGGUGUGUAUGAAGCUGUAUCUGUUGUAGAUAACUUGGGAAAUAAUGUUUUGUGUAUUGAUUCUACUAAUAAUAACUUGGAUAAAGCAUCUUUAUGGCAUUGUCGUCUUGGACAUAUAAGCAAGAAACGCAUAGGCCAACUCCAAAAGGAUGGAGUCUUGGAGUCGUUUGACCUAAAGUCAGAUGAUAGUUGCGAAUCAUGCUUACUUGGAAAAAUGACAAAGUCACCCUUCACAGGUUCGUGUGAGAGGGGUGAAGGUUUGUUGGACCUUAUACACACGGAUGUGUGUGGACCAUUCAAACAUGCCACAAGGGAUGCUAAUCGUUAUUAUUUGACUUUUACUGAUGAUUAUAGUAGAUAUGGAUAUGUCUACUUGAUCAAGCAUAAGUCAGAGACUUUCGAGAGGUUUAAGGAAUUUAAACAGGAAGUCGAGAAUCAAUUGGGCAGGAACAUUAAGAUGCUUCGAUCCGAUCGUGGUGGUGAGUAUCUUAGUUCAGAGUUCCUCGACUAUCUAAGGGAAUGUGGGAUAGUCUCACAAUUGACACCUCCCAGGACACCACAGUUGAAUGGUGUGGCUGAGAGGCGUAAUCGAACCUUGUUAGAUAUGGUUCGUUCCAUGAUGAGUCGAGCUACGCUACCAAUCUCAUUCUGGGGGUAUGCCUUAGAGACUGCCGCCCAUAUUCUUAAUCUAGUCCCUACAAAGAAAGUUGCCAAAACUCCUCACGAGAUGUGGACUGGUAAAGUACCUAAACUAGACCACAUCAAGAUUUGGGGUUGCGAGGCUUUCGUGAGACGCGAGACUCAUGAUAAGCUCGAACCUCGAAGCGAGAGGUGUAUUUUCAUCGGUUACCCACAGCGAUCCUUUGGUUACCUCUUCUACAGACCUAGUGACAAUGUGGUCUUUGUAGCAAGAAGAGGAGUCUUUCGAGAAAGAGAGUUUAUAAGCCAAGGAGACAGUGGGAGGCAAAUUGAUCUUGAAGAAAUUCAAGAAUCAAGCGGUGAAGGAACUUCAAACUCUAGCCCUCAACUUGAGGAGGAAACUCCUGUUGAGCCAAUUGACAAAUCUGUACCUCUGAGACGUUCCACGAGAGUUAGGAGUGCACCUGAGCAUUACUAUGGAUUCCAUAUUACUGCAGAAGGUGAGACACUUAUUAGUGAUGAGACACUAGUAAGUCAAGAUGACCCUAACAGCUACGAGGAAGCCAUGGCAGGCCCCGAGUCUGCUAAAUGGAAAGAGGCUAUGGAUAGCGAGAUACAAUCCAUGUAUGACAAUCAAGUUUGGAACUUGGUUGAAAAUGUACCAGGUCGUAAGACAGUAGGGUGCAAAUGGGUCUUCAAGAAGAAGACCGACAUGGAUGGUAAAGUACACACUUAUAAGGCUAGACUGGUUGCAAAGGGCUUCUCUCAAAUUCCUGGAGUGGAUUAUGAUGAGACCUUUUCUCCGGUAGCCAAGAUUAAGUCUAUUCGGGUUCUGUUAGCCAUAGCUGCAUUUCAUGACUAUGAAAUAUGGCAGAUGGAUGUCAAAACCGCUUUCCUUAAUGGAAAGUUGGCUGAAGAUGUUUACAUGAGUCAGCCAGAGGGUUUUGUCAGCAACGAGUACCCUAAUAGAGUGUGUAAGCUUGAGAAAUCCAUUUAUGGAUUGAAGCAAGCACCUCGCAGAUGGAAUCUUUGCUUUGAUGAAAAGGUCAAGGAAUUUGGCUUUUCUAGGAGUGAAGAUGAAUCUUGUGUGUAUGUCAAGGCUAGUGGGAGUAUAGUUAGCUUUUUGGUAUUGUAUGUGGAUGACAUACUACUCAUAGGAAACGACAUUCCAACCCUGCAGGAAGUAAAGUCCUGGCUUGGGAAGUGUUUCGCUAUGAAGGACCUUGGUGAAGCUGCCUAUAUUCUAGGGAUAAGAAUCUUGAGAGAUCGGAGUAAAAGACUAAUUGGACUUAGUCAGAGUACCUACUUGGAUAAGGUGCUGAAGAGAUUCAGCAUGCAGGAUUCCAAGAAAGGAGAGUUACCCAUCCAGAGUAACACCAGAUUGAGUAAGACACAAAGCCCUAGCACUGAGGCUGAGAUAGCAGAAAUGAGUCGAACACCUUACGCUUCGGCUGUAGGAUCGAUCAUGUAUGCUAUGACGUGUACUCGACCCGAUGUAGCUUUUGCCUUGAGCAUGGUUAGCAGGUAUCAGGCGAACCCUGGCAAGGCACACUGGACUGCGGUAAAGAAUAUCCUCAAGUACCUACGGAGGACUAAGGACUGGGUCCUUACCCUCGGUGGGAGUGAUGACUUGAGAGUUGUAGGGUAUAGUGAUGCUAGCUUCCAGACUGAUAGGGAUAAUUUCCGCUCUCAGUCGGGCUGGGUCUUUACCCUAAACGGAGGAGCAAUUUCUUGGAAGAGUUCCAAGCAAGAGACAGUGGCAGAUUCUACUUGUGAAUCAGAGUAUAUUGCAGCUAGUGAAGCAGCAAAGGAGGCGAUAUGGCUGAAGAACUUCAUUGGAGACCUUGGAGUUGUACCAGCUAUUAAAGAGCCAAUGGAAAUUUUCUGUGAUAGUGAAAGUGCUGUUGCCUUAGCCAAGGAACCAAGGGAUCAUGGGAGAUCCAGACACAUCGACAGAAAAUACCAUUUCAUUAGACAUCGGAUCGAAGAAGGACUCCUCGUGGCAAAGAGGGUAUCAUCGGAUGAGAACCCAGCAGAUCCCCUCACGAAGGGACUGAGUAGGGUUAAGCAUCUCCAGCAUGCUCGGAGCAUAGGGCUGAAGGAUGAUAUAAGUUUUAGUAGUUAGAUAACCCAGAAAUUUGUAAAGUGUAAUUGACAUUUGAUGAUGAAUAAAAGGUGUUUUAUUUAUGAGUAAAGUGUUGCUAUCUCUUGUCGAUCGUUUACUAUAUUUCUUUUGCAUGUUUUGACUUCCAGAAUAAUUUUGUUUGGUAUAACAUAUUAUUCAAACCUCCACAGUCGGUCAUAUGUCGGAAGUAGGUAUGAAUCAAGACUGUCAUGAUGGGUUGUAGAGGUCUAAGGUGUUGGACAAGGCUACAACAAUCAUGAGUGCUCAUAAGUUCUGAGCAUUGGACUCAACCCACGCUCACUGGAAUCACUUCAUGGAAUUCUAUCUCGAGUGAUCGUGAGACGGUAAUAUCAUAUAAGUCUUCAAACCUAGAGAUAUGAUUUGUUACUUACAAGUUGGUUAUGCAUUGACUGUACGAAACCGCAUUGGUAACUCGAUGUUAUAAAACGUACUUUUGUGUGUAAUUCAAUGAGUGGUAGAACAAACAUAUGAGUCGAAGUUUAUCUGUUCCUUCUUGGAUUAGAAGCUGAUAUCUGGGCCCCUCGAUGAUUUUGUUUUGACCCAUGUACCGGGCCCGGUCAGAACUAAGUUGAUGUGUUCAAUUAAGUUCUAUGUCAAACAAAUCGGAAAUCGGGAAACAAAUGCUGGACAAUAAGCAAGACAAUGUUCCAUGUAUUUGUCCGGCUGAUAUCUAGAACGGAGGAUUAUAUGAUCACUUAUCUUAAAUGGCGUACCAUCAUCUUCUCAGUUCCGAGAGACCUUGAAAGAGCUACGAUUGCCGGUCGGUUCCUGAAGUACUAGAGAUAUAGUUAUUAGACUUAUCCAAGUGGGAGACUGUUGGAUAAGGUGUCUAAGUCCAUAACUAUUUCGGGCUUGUACUUGACCCGACCCGGCAUGGUCCAUUUGGGUUGCAUGGCACCAUGCAAUUGGUUAGACUAAAUGAGAGAAAUAACACUUGGAGAUUAUUAAUAUAUUAUAAGUUCUAAUAUAUUAAUAAUAUUAUUUGAUUAGUUUGAUCAAGAAUUAAUUUGGAAUUAAUUAAGUGAUCAAAGGAUAACUAAUUAAAUAUAUGGGUUGAUUAUGUAAAUCAUCCAUAUCUUGUAUAGUGGGCUAAGAGGCUCCAUGGAUUAUCAAGUUGGGUUCUACCCAUAGGAUGCUCCAUGGAUGCUCCAUGGGAGUUACAAACCCAUGGGUCAUGGAAAUGAAGAGUCAUGACACAUUAGGGUUUACAUGGUGUAACCCUAGAUGUGUCAACACUAUAUAAGAAUCAUAUUCUCCACCAAAAUCGGCUACACUAAGAAACUAGAGGGCUUGGCCGAUUUUGAGAAGUGUGUGUUAUCUCAAGAGUCUUUCCAAGAGCAUUUGGUGUUGUGUGAAGCAUUUGAGGCAUCACACUUGGGGUGCUAGGCUCACAAGGUUUCAAGGAACACAAGCAACAACAAGGUAAGUUAUUCUAUCUAUGAUUCAAGUUAAAAUUGUUCCCCAUGUAUGCUAGAUAGGAAUAUAACCUUGGAAUUCAACUUUGCAUGAUAAUUAGACAAACAUAGAUCCAAGGUUAUUAGGGUUGCAUGUACACUUAGGAAGUGUUAGAAUGCUCAAAACCCAUCAAUACCACCCACAGACAGACGGACAGAGUGAGCGGACGAUUCAAACGAUCGAGGACAUGCUUCGGGCAUGUGUGUUGGACUUCGAAGGAAGUUGGGACACGUACUUACAAUUGGUUGAGUUUUCCUAUUACAACAGCCACCAUUCGAUCAUUGGUAUGCCUCCCUUCGAGUUGUUGUAUGGAAGGAGGUGUCGGACUCCCAUCUGCUGGGGAGAGGUAGGGCAGCGAGUGAUGGGUAGCACUGAGAUAGUAUUUUAGACUACUGAGCAAAUUCAGCAGGUCAGGCAGAGAUUGCUAACAGCCCAGAGUUUCCAGAAGAGUUAUGCGGAUAGGCGACAAUCCGAGCUUGAGUUUUAGGUUGGAGACUUCGUACUCCUGAAGGUGUCUCCUUGAAAAGGAGUGAUCCGAUUCAGGAAUAGGGGCAAGCUAGAGCCCCAGUACAUUGGCCCUUUCAGGGUGACCGUGAGGGUGGGCAGGGUAGCAUAUCGCUUAGAGCUACCUGCAGAGAUGGGCCGGAUACAUGAUACCUUCCACGUGCCUCAGUUGAGGAAGUGUAUAUCCGACAAGUCGGCAGUGGUACCAUUGGAGGAUAUUCAGGUGGAUGCGAGCCUGAUUUAUGUUGAGAGGCCAAUCGCAGUGGUGUAUCGGAAGAUCAAGUUUCUGAGGAACAAGGAGGUGUCCCUGGUUCAGGUCCAGUGGCAACAUCGGAAAGUGUCUAAGCUGACUUGGGAGCCGGAGGCAUAGAUGCGGGAGCAGCACCCAGAGUUGUUUGCAGAAUGAGACUUCGAGGGCGAAGUCUAAUUCUAGUGGGGGAGAAUUUUAAAAUCUGGAUUUCCAAGUAUCAUAUUUUAAUUUUUUAAUUUGACUUAUGAGGAGGGACUCGGUGAGUUGACGCUUAGACUCGCGGGGUAGGGUCGCGAUUGUUGACUGGAUUAAUGAACGGACUCGACGAGUCGAUGGGUGGACUCGACGAGUCCACGCUGAUGUUAGAAACCCUAAAUCUUCGGGCCUGUGCCCUAUCUAAGGGACCUUAUAUCCCUCAUCUGUGGCUACCAGUCCAGAGAGAGAACCCCUAGAGAGCUUCAGUGAGUUGUGUGUGUGUGUGAGAGAGAGAGAGAGAGAGAGAGAGAGCUAUUUAAUCCCUUUUUGUUGUGGUUUUGCAAAGAAGAAGGUGUUUCCAGCAAGAGGAUGUUAAGGGGAUUGUGAUUCUGCGGUUUUCAAGCUUAGGUCUUCAUUAUUGAGGUAUAAAACCGAUCCCUUCUUCUGUUUUGUGCAAAUCCUUGAAUCUAGGGUUUUCUAUACCCCUUUGUUGGCUUGUAUUUAUGCAUAUGUUGUCCCUCUUAGUGUUAGACUCUGGAUCUGGACCUUUAGAGGUCCAGAGAGCAUUAUCUAUCCAACUUUAUGUUGUCCCAUGGAGGAAAUGAACCUAGGAUGCCAUUUUAGAAGCCAUUUCACCAAAAGAAGCAUUGUAUGCAUUUCAUGAGUGUCAAGAUUUGACCUUUACGUGAUUAUUGGACAUGG